AGAUAUGUUUGGGUUACUUGGUG
RNAcentral lists this microRNA (23 nucleotides) under Fasciola hepatica (liver fluke). Its description in RNAcentral is "fhe-miR-190". Its record names the gene fhe-miR-190. Lineage: Eukaryota; Metazoa; Platyhelminthes; Trematoda; Plagiorchiida; Fasciolidae. RNAcentral also lists the same sequence under 2 other names. The record is from miRBase by way of RNAcentral.